GACGAACGCUGGCGGCGUGCUUAACACAUGCAAGUCGAACGGAAAGGCCCUGCUUUUGUGGGGUGCUCGAGUGGCGAACGGGUGAGUAACACGUGAGUAACCUGCCCUUGACUUUGGGAUAACUUCAGGAAACUGGGGCUAAUACCGGAUAGGAGCUCCUGCUGCAUGGUGGGGGUUGGAAAGUUUCGGCGGUUGGGGAUGGACUCGCGGCUUAUCAGCUUGUUGGUGGGGUAGUGGCUUACCAAGGCUUUGACGGGUAGCCGGCCUGAGAGGGUGACCGGCGACAUUGGGACUGAGAUACGGCCCAGACUCCUACGGGAGGCAGCAGUGGAGAAUAUUGCACAAUGGGCGGAAGCCUGAUGCAGCAACGCCGCGUGCGGGAUGACGGACUUCGGGUUGUAAACCGCUUUCGCCUGUGACGAAGCGUGAGUGACGGUAAUGGGUAAAGAAGCACCGGCUAACUACGUG
Molecule: ribosomal RNA, 468 nt
Filed under: uncultured bacterium
Lineage: Bacteria
Description: partial 16S ribosomal RNA
Rfam family: Bacterial small subunit ribosomal RNA
Source: RNAcentral